CCACGAAGACAAGUCCAGAGGUCAAAUUUUUUUUUUCCAUAAUAAAGUACAUUACAUUAGCUUUAAUUUAAGAUAUAUAAAUAUAAGUGUCAGACCUUCGAAACACUUUCAAAAGUCAAGGGAAAUUUUUUCAAUUUUUGAGGGUAAUGUCUUCGACUAGAUACGAUUUGUGAUCUUUUGGCGUAUCGUUGAAAGUAAUCUGUUCGGUGAGAGCUGAGAAAAUUGGAAACAGACACAAAAAAAAAACAGAUCAUAGUAAAACCAAUACCUUAUCAGCUUUGAGUCGAAGAAGAUGACAGGAGAAACUAUAUAGCCCAGCCCAACGGAAUCGAACCCCAAUACCUAAGUUCUGAGGUACGACACAUUACCAACUGAGCUAAGUAGACCGUCACAGAAUAAUCUUUAUACUAAAAUUGAUAUCGUCUAAGCUUGGAA
Molecule: long non-coding RNA, 435 nt
Organism: Daktulosphaira vitifoliae (grape phylloxera)
Lineage: Eukaryota; Metazoa; Arthropoda; Insecta; Hemiptera; Phylloxeridae
Exons: 2
Source: RefSeq, a predicted model, not a curated record